CCCAGGUGUGGCCAGGAACGCCCAGGUAUAGCCUGGACCCCCCCCAGGUGUGGCCAGGAACGCCCAGGUAUAGCCUGGACCCCCCCAGGUGUGGCCAGGAACUCCCACGUGUAGCCAGGACCCCCACAGGUGUGACCAGGACCCCGUUAGGUGUGGCCCUGGCCCCCCCAGGUAUGGCCUGGACCCCCCCCAGGUGUGGCCCUGAGCCCUGCACCGACCCCACAGUGCAGGGUGGGCUGAGGGCAGGGAGGUCUGUGCAGGACAGAUGUGUAAAUGGACAGGUGUGUAAAUGGACAGGUGUGUGAGGUACAGGUGUGUAAAUGGACAGGUGUGUAAAUGGACAGGUGUGUGAGGUACAGGUGUGUAAAUGGACAGGUGUGUGAGGUACAGGUGUGUAAAUGGACAGGGAUGUAAAUGGACAGGUGUGUGGCAGGUAUGGCAGGUACAGGUGUGUGUCAGGUACAGGUGUACCAGGUACAGGUGUGUACCAGGUACAGGUGUGUUCCAGGUACAGGUGUGCCAGGUACAGGUGUACCAGGUACAGGUGUGUCAGGUACAGGUGUACCAGGUACAGGUGUACCAGGUACAGGUGUGUUCCAGGUACAGGUGUACCAGGUACAGGUGUACCAGGUACAGGUGUGUAUCAGGUACAGGUAUGUCAGGUACAGAUGUGUUCCAGGUACAGGUGUGCCAGGUACAGGUGUGUAUCAGGUACAGGUGUGUUCCAGGUACAGGUGUACCAGGUACAGGUGUGCCAGGUACAGGUGUGUGUCAGGUACAGGUGUACCAGGUACAGGUAUACCAGGUACAGGUGUGUGGCAGGUACAGGUGUGCCAGGUACAGGUGUACCAGGUACAGGUAUGUCAGGUACAGAUGUGUUCCAGGUACAGGUGUACCAGGUACAGGUAUGUCAGGUACAGAUGUGUUCCAGGUACAGGUGUGUAUCAGGUACAGGUGUGUAUCAGGUACAGGUGUGCCAGGUACAGGUGUACCAGGUACAGGUGUGUUCCAGGUACAGGUGUGUCAGGUACAGGUGUGCCAGGUACAGGUGUACCAGGUACAGGUGUGUCAGGUACAGGUAUACCAGGUACAGAUGUGUUCCAGGUACAGGUGUGUCAGGUACAGGUAUACCAGGUACAGGUGUACCAGGUACAGGUGUGGCAGGUACAGGUGUGUCAGGUACAGGUAUACCAGGUACAGGUAUACCAGGUACAGGUGUGUCAGGUACAGGUAUACCAGGUACAGGUGUACCAGGUACAGGUAUGCCAGGUACAGGUGUGUCAGGUACAGGUGUGCCAGGUACAGGUGUACCAGGUACAGGUGUGCCAGGUACAGGUGUGCCAGGUGUGCGGCAGGUACCGUGCAUGUUGUAGUCAAAGGUGAGCUCCUCCCCUGCCCGGAUGGGCCGCGUGGCGAAGAGCGCGAUGCGCGGCAGGCGCUGGUCCAGGUUCUCGAUGAACACGUUGUACACCUGCAGGUUGGGGUCACACUGCCCCGCCCGGCAGGUGAGACACACCUGGCAGGUGAGCCCCACCCCCAUGAGCUCCACCCACGGCACCCGAGACACGCCCACACCUGGGGAACAGGUGCUGGAAGCGCCACCCACACGGCAGGUAAGGCCACACCUCUGCACAGGUAA
This 1639-nucleotide long non-coding RNA is filed under the name Lonchura striata (white-rumped munia). Its description in RNAcentral is "domestica (Bengalese finch) lncRNA (ENSLSDG00000002413.1)". The record is from RNAcentral. Lineage: Eukaryota; Metazoa; Chordata; Aves; Passeriformes; Estrildidae.